This 74-nucleotide transfer RNA is filed under the name Columbicola passerinae. RNAcentral describes it as "tRNA-Ala". The record is from RNAcentral. Lineage: Eukaryota; Metazoa; Arthropoda; Insecta; Psocodea; Philopteridae.
GUCUCCACCAAACACACCCAAUUUUAGUAAAAUUCCUGCCAAGAAUUUGAAUGCUAGUUUUUCCAUACAUGGAA